This is a long non-coding RNA of Heterocephalus glaber (naked mole-rat), 2551 nucleotides long. Lineage: Eukaryota; Metazoa; Chordata; Mammalia; Rodentia; Bathyergidae. The record is from Ensembl.
AAAAAAAUAAUGUUAAGUGCAUGUAGCAACUCUGUACAGUGAAUGUAAACAAGUACUGUAAACAUAUACUCAUGAGAAAAAAACAUUUAGGAACCCAGAUAGGGCCAGGGAUUUAGCUCAGUGGCACUGUGCCUGCCUAAUCUGUGUUUGAUCUCUGGUACCAAAUAAAUAAGUAAAUAAAGUAAGUGACUGAACAUUUAAGACCUUUCAGGCUCUAAAAUUCUCCAGCUCUGACUCACAGAAAAUUAAACAAACAUUAAGUCUCUAAAUUUGGGCAUAAGAAAUAUGAUUCCAAAUAAAAAUGCCUAGAGUUUUAUAGGGUUCCACCACAUACAGGAUAAUGAGAUGCGUAUUGUCUAAGACACGCCUUUUUUCUGGUCUUGGCUGCUGAAAUGCAUACCUGAAUAGCUACUAAGGUUUUAAAUUCAUUCGUUUCAUUUUAUGCGGCCAAGUUAGUUAUCCCAGGUAACAAGGAAGGACUUAUUUUGAAGUAAUAGAUAAAACCCAAGACAUUGUCAAUUGUGUUUGAUGACGAUCUGAAUGUAAGACUCUGCAAAUAUUCUGGUACAUACCUGGAGCAGGUCGCUAGGUGGAGCAACCCCUAAAUUCACGCUCCUCAUCUGUGUGCGAGCUCUAGUGUAGUCUCACUUUUAAAAUUUUGUAACAAUUGUUUAAUAAAUUAGUAUAUCUGUUGGGAAAUUUUUUCAAAUAUUACUUUUUUAUAUUGGCAUGUAACUGAAAUGGACUUUUUGGACGUCGCUUUUCUAAUUUUUUUUGGUUUUUUUUUUGGUCCUGAGUUCGAUCUCCAGUACAAAAAGAAAAGAAAACCUGCUGGAGUUCUUGGGAGUCAGGCGCAGGGCUUUGGGAACUGUUCUGCUGUACACUGUUCUGGGAUUGACAAAUCACACCCACUUUCCCAGCCAGCCUUACCACACCCUAAUCUCCUAUCUCAGAAUGAAGAAAGUUUGGAUAUUGGCUACUUAAACAUAGCAUAAAACUUUGAGAUUUGUCUGAUUGUUGUGUGUGCCUAUAGUUUAUUUCAUUUUCUCGCUGAGUGGUAUUAUGAGUGUGCAAUUAUUUAUCCUUGUAAUUCACUGAAGGCUUUUUCAAUUUUUUGGUGAUUACAGCGUUAAUAUAAACAUUUGUGUACUCUUUAAAAACAGAUAUAAUUUUGCCAUGAAAUUCAUUUUACUCCUAUUUGUCAUUCUAAUAAUGUCAUAGUUGUAGUUCUUACAUUUAAGUCUUGGUCUGUCUUGAAUUAAGUUUUGUAUUUGGUGUGAAAGAGGGAUCCACCUUCUUUAUUUUGCAUUUCAACAACCAGUUGCCUCAGUGCCAUUUGUUGAAAAGACUACUCUUUUCCCAUUUUUCUAAUUAUCCUCAUCAAAAAAUGAACAUCAGGGUUUAUUUCUGUAAUCUCAAUUUUAUUUCACUGAUCUGUGUGACUAUCCAUAUGCUAGUUCCAUGCUGUUUUUGUUUUUUGUUUUGUUUUGUUUUUUGAGAUAGGGUCUCUCCAUGUUGCCCAGGCUGGCUUUGAACUCAUGGUGAUCCUCCUUCCUCAGCCUCUUGAGUGCUGGCAUGCUGUCUUGAUUACCAUUGCUUUGUAGUAAGUUUUGAAGUUAGAAAGUAUGAGUUUCUCUAUGUUCUUUUUCAAGUGGUUUCAGCAAUUCUGAGUCCCAUGGAAUGCCAUUUACAUUUUAGAAUCAGUUCUUCAGUUUCUGCAAAAAAGCUGGGGGGCCAGGGAGGUAGCUCAGUGGCGCAGUGCAUGCCUGGCAAGUGUGAGGCCCUGAGUUCGAGUCCCAGUACCAAAAAAAAAAGGUAGCUGGGGUUUGGUUAGGGGUCCUCUUGAGUCCAUAGAACAUUCUGGAGACCAUUGUCAUCUUAGUAUUAAGCCUUCCGGUCAGCUGAGGGCACCUUCCUGUCUACUUGGGCCUUCUUUAGUGUUGUCCAUGAUGUCCUGUGCUUUUCAACUCCCAGCAUCCAUCCCCCAAAAGAAUAAGGCUAAGUGUGGGUUUUUAAUAGAUAGCGUUUAUCAGCUCGAGAAAGUUUCCUUUUAACCCUAGUUUGUUCAAUAUUUUUAUCGUGAAAAGAUGUUAGAUUUUGUCCGUGUUCUUUCUGCAUCUGAGAUUCCCAUGUGGUUUUUUUUGUCCUUUAUUAAUAUGGUGAAUUGCAUUGAUGGAUUUUCAUGUUUACUCAGUCUAUGCGAGCAUUAUCCUAAGAUAAAUUCAACUUGGUCAUCAGGUGUAAUCUUUCUUAGGUAUUUGUGGGUUUGGCUGAUAUUUUGGGGGGAAUCUUUGAGUCUGUGUCUGCCAGGGCACUGAUCUGUAGUUUUCUCUGCAUGUGGUGUCUUUGCCUUGUUUGUAACUGGGCAGUGCUGCCCCAUGGAGUGCAUUGAGAGGAAGGGGUUGUAAAAUCUCGGUACCAGUUCUGUGUUAAAUGUUUGGUAGGAAUACUAGGGAAGUCUUCUGAGCCUGGGUUUUUCUUUGCAGAAAGAUUCUGAUGCUGAUUCGAGCUCUUGUUAUAAGUCUGUUCAACUUUCAUUUCUUCUUUUUUG